UAAGGGGAGGAAGAAAAUAACAAGGAUUCCCCUAGUAACUGCGAGUGAAGCGGGAAAAGCUCAAAUUUGAAAUCUGGCAGUUUUUAACUGUCCGAGUUGUAAUCUAGAGAAGUGUUACCUGUGCUGGACCGUGUACAAGUCUUCUGGAAUGGAGCAUCAUAGAGGGUGAGAAUCCCGUCUUUGACACGGACUACCUGUACAUUAUGGUGUGCUCUCAAAGAGUCGAGUUGUUUGGGAAUGCAGCUCAAAAUGGGUGGUAAAUGCCAUCUAAAGCUAAAUAUUGGCGAGAGACCGAUAGCGAACAAGUACCGUGAGGGAAAGAUGAAAAGAACUUUGGAAAGAGAGUUAAACAGUACGUGAAAUUGCUGAAAGGGAAACGCUUGAAGUCAGUCGCGUCGGCUUGGAAUCAACCUGGCUUUUGCCUGGUGUACUUUCUUGUUGACGGGUCAGCAUCAAUUUUGACCGCUGGAUAAAGUCACUGGGAAUGUGGCAUCUUUGGAUGUGUUAUAGCCCUAUGUUGCAUACAGUGGUUGGGAUUGAGGAACUCAGCACGCCGCAAGGCCGGGUUUUUUUAAACCACCUUCCUGCUUAAGAAGGUGGCAUAAUGGCUUUAAUCCACCCGUCCUGGAACACCGAACAAGGAAUCCAACAUGGCUGCCAAUGGUUGGGUGGAAAAACCAUGCCCGUAAUGGAAGUGAAAGUUGAAAUUCCUUUCCAGGGAACAUUUACCCCCCGACCAAAACUUUUGGGAAAGAACCGCCGUAAAACAUGGAUGGUGGGAACCGAAAGAAGGUGAACUAAGCCUGAAUAAGGUGAAGCCAGAAGAAACUCCGGUGGAAGCUUCUAACGAUUCCGAAGUGCAAAUCCAUCGUCCAAUUUGGGUAUUAGGGCGAAAGAAUAAUCCAACCAUCUAGUAACUGGUUCCUGCCGAAGUUUCCCUCAGGAUAGCAGAAACUCCUAUCAGAUUUAUGUGGUAAAGCGAAUGAUUAAAGGCCUUGGG
This 1000-nucleotide ribosomal RNA is filed under the name Inocybe paludinelloides. RNAcentral describes it as "LSU rRNA". It matches the Rfam family "Eukaryotic large subunit ribosomal RNA", at positions 47 to 1034 of the family's 3401-position model. Lineage: Eukaryota; Fungi; Basidiomycota; Agaricomycetes; Agaricales; Inocybaceae. The record is from RNAcentral.